ACCCAGGUGGCUUAGUCAGUUAGGUGUCUGACUUCGGCUCAGGUCAUGAUAUGGCAGUUUGUGGGUUCGAGCCCCACAUUGGGCA
Molecule: transfer RNA, 85 nt
Filed under: Felis catus (domestic cat)
Lineage: Eukaryota; Metazoa; Chordata; Mammalia; Carnivora; Felidae
Also listed under: 1 other name
Rfam family: tRNA
About the family: Transfer RNA (tRNA) molecules are approximately 80 nucleotides in length. Their secondary structure includes four short double-helical elements and three loops (D, anti-codon, and T loops).
Source: Rfam by way of RNAcentral